UAAGUAGGGGGCAAGCGUUGUACGGAUUUACUGGGCGUAAAGGGUGCGUAGGCGGAUAUUUAAGUGAGAUGUGAAAUACCCGGGCUCAACUUGGGUGCUGCAUUUCAAACUGGAUAUCUAGAGUGCGGGAGAGGAAGGUGGAAUUCCUAGUGUAGCGGUGAAAUGCGUAGAGAUUAGGAAGAACAUCAGUGGCGAAGGCGACUUUCUGGACUUUAACUGACGCUGAGGCAUGAAAGCGUGGGGAGCAAACAGG
RNAcentral lists this ribosomal RNA (253 nucleotides) under uncultured bacterium. Its description in RNAcentral is "partial 16S ribosomal RNA". It matches the Rfam family "Bacterial small subunit ribosomal RNA", at positions 524 to 776 of the family's 1533-position model. The record is from RNAcentral.